Molecule: non-coding RNA, 102 nt
Organism: Cherax quadricarinatus
Lineage: Eukaryota; Metazoa; Arthropoda; Malacostraca; Decapoda; Parastacidae
Source: RefSeq, a predicted model, not a curated record
GUACUUGCUUCGGCUACAUUACAAAAUUUGGGGACGAUACGAGAAGAUUAGAGAGCCCUGGCAAGGAUGACACGCAAAAUCGUGAAAGGUUUUUACAUUUUU